Molecule: ribosomal RNA, 305 nt
Filed under: uncultured bacterium
Lineage: Bacteria
Description: bacterial SSU rRNA
Rfam family: Bacterial small subunit ribosomal RNA
Source: RNAcentral
AAGCCUACGGGGGGCAGCAGUCGAGAAUCAUUCACAAUGGGGGAAACCCUGAUGGUGCGACGCCGCGUGGGGGAAUGAAGGUCUUCGGAUUGUAAACCCCUGUCAUGUGGGAGCAAGGGCCGGGACGAGUCCCGGUCCGGAGAGUACCCGGAGAAAAAGCAUCGGCUAACUCCGUGCCAGCAGCCGCGGUAAUACGGAGGAUGCGAGCGUUAUCCGGAUUUAUUGGGUUUAAAGGGUGCGUAGGCGGGCUUUUAAGUCAGCGGUAAAAAUUAGGGGCUCAACCCCGUCCGGCCGUUGAAACUGGG